This is a small nucleolar RNA of Teleopsis dalmanni, 80 nucleotides long. The record is from RefSeq and is a predicted model, not a curated record. Lineage: Eukaryota; Metazoa; Arthropoda; Insecta; Diptera; Diopsidae.
UAUUUAUGAUGAUUAAAACUUUCACCAUCUUUCGACUGACAACAAACGUUGAUGUUCUAUAAGUUUCACUGAUCAACUUA